Molecule: non-coding RNA, 84 nt
Organism: Mycena galericulata
Lineage: Eukaryota; Fungi; Basidiomycota; Agaricomycetes; Agaricales; Mycenaceae
Source: the annotation of a GenBank genome assembly
GGCCUGGUGGUGUAUGGGUAUCACACCCGCUUUCAAUUUCAAGAAGGCCAGCGGAGGUUCCCUGUUCGAUUUAGGGUUGGGCCA